GGUUUAAAUAUUUAGCGCUUAAAUAAUGGGAAGUUAUUACAUGUAAGUUUUUGUGUGAAUUUAUUUACAAAAAUUGUCUAAAGGGUAAUUUUUGAGAUUUAUAGUAUUAUUAUUCGCAGUUUUUAUUAUUAUUAUUGAUUUAAUAUUUUAAGAUAUAGUUUCUCUAAUUUUGAUUAGCUAAGAUUGUGCCAGCAGCUGCGGUUACACAAUCAAUCAAAGUUAAUUUUUUCUAUUAGGUAUGUAUAUUUAUUAAUUAUGAUUUAGAAUUGUUUUAUUUUUAGGUGAAAUUUAAAUAAAUUUUAUAAAUUAGGCUAUAAUAUUAUAUAUGAAAUUCAUAGAUUAGACAAGGAUUAGAUACCCUUUUAUUUUUGAAUGUAAAUUGUUCUGUUUAGUACUAAUAGUUUUGAUCUUUAAAUUAAAAGAAUUUGACGGUAACUUGAUCAUUCCAGAGGAACUUGUCCUUUAAUUGAUAACCCACGAUAAAUUUUACCUUAAUUUAUGGUUUGUAUAUCUCUGUUUAAGAGUAUUUUAAUAGGAUAAUUAUAUUCUUUAUUUAUUAUUUAUAUAAAAUAUAUCAGGUCAAGGUGCAGCUAUAUUAAGGGUUGAGAUGAGUUACAUUGAAUUAUUAUUUUUGAAUAUGUAUAUUUAUUUAUACAUUGAAAUUGGAUUUGGAAGUAAUAAUUAUUAUAUAUUAGUUAUGAUAUUUGCUCUGGGUUAAGUACACAUCGCCCGUCGCUCUCGUCUUAAAAUGAGAUAAGUCGUAACAAAGUAGGCUUAUCGGAAGAUGAGCCUGGAAUUAAA
RNAcentral lists this non-coding RNA (801 nucleotides) under Coridius chinensis. Lineage: Eukaryota; Metazoa; Arthropoda; Insecta; Hemiptera; Dinidoridae. The record is from RNAcentral.